CUAAAUUGAAAGUGCUGGUGCUGUCCACUGUCACUGUCAGUUUCCCCAAAUAUGUGAAGUGAAUUGUUAAGAUAUUUUAAUCUCCGAAGCUACGACAUAACAUGCGACAUAUACGGACUGCAUUUUUCUACGAACACUCCAGUACGACUUGUACUGGUCACCAAUGAACGAUGAAAGGACACACAAUGGGUUUUCCAGGUGCUGGGAAACAAUUUUUUCCUGUGCUCGUGCAGUGACCAAUCCAAAUACUGCGUUGUGACAUCCAGGUGCAAUCCAGGUCAAUCCUUCAUGCUAUUCACUACGAUGGAAUUCUACUGCUUUCUUCUGUGCACUGAGAUCCAAUUAACCUGCAUCGACGUAAGAAACGGACCUUUCUCUUUAAGGGGAGCGCCGUUAAUCCUACUCUUAUCCCUCUUCUUUUAUCCGGGUUUAGGAUCAGAAGGAGUUAUGCAAUCUCAUUACAAAGUCUCAUGAACGUGGCAAUGAAGAAAGCUGACUUGAAAACAUUCGCAUUUGUUCGGUUUGUUUCACCACAAGAACGCACCCAAGAUGUUAGCUGUUUCAGUUUACUUGAAUGGCAGGAACUAAUGAACGGACUAAUGAGAAGGAAGAGAUAUGCCACCUUCCCAAGCGCUUUUGCAAAAUGCAGUUGAUCAAAAGGUAA
Macrobrachium nipponense is the source of this 664-nucleotide long non-coding RNA. RefSeq lists it as uncharacterized. Lineage: Eukaryota; Metazoa; Arthropoda; Malacostraca; Decapoda; Palaemonidae. The record is from RefSeq and is a predicted model, not a curated record. The transcript is spliced from 5 exons.